Lasiosphaeria ovina is the source of this 86-nucleotide non-coding RNA. The record is from the annotation of a GenBank genome assembly. NCBI's taxonomy places the organism in Eukaryota, Fungi, Ascomycota, Sordariomycetes, Sordariales, Lasiosphaeriaceae.
GCGUCAGUGGUUUAGUGGUAAAAUCCAUCGUUGCCAUUCAGAGCUGUGAAUUCGAUGGGCCCCGCGUUCGAUUCGCGGCUGACGCA